AAUAUAUCCAGUAAUUUUUCAGAAAAUAAUUAGACCCAGGUUGGACCUUUUUUUCAGGAGCAUGGACUAUCCUUCAAGUUGGAUGUGUACUUUUCACAUACAAGGAGAAGGGACAUUGCACCAAGAUUUUUGAAAACAUAUAAGAUCUGUUUCAAAUACUUGAAAUUAUUCUGUGCAAAAGCAAGACUUCCAGCAUUUAAAAAAUUUAUUACCUUUAAUAAGUGUGGAAGUUACUGUAAUUUAUGAAAAUAUUUACCCUCAUCAAAGUGUGCUACUAUCAUUAAUAAUGCAUAUUCUUUUAUUAAAUUAAAUAUAGCUCUUGUAUUAAUAUUGCAGGGACUAACAAACUAUUACUUCCUUUUUGCUUAUUUAACUAUGUAAAUAAGAACAAAUUUACUAGUCUUCUAUUUUAUAGAUGGGCAAAAACUCUUUUUCUUAGAUUCUGGCAAUCAUGGAUUAAUUAAUGAGAGAACUGAUAUACUGUAGUGUUAGAUUCCAGAAUUUUUUCCUAGAACUCUUAGCUCCUAUUAGGAACCAUCCUGAUAAAUUUCUGAAUACAUUUAAGUCAUACUACCUUAUAAAACUUAUCAGUGUCAAGGUAUUGAGUUUUAUUGGUCUGGUUUAUAUUAGUUUAGGUGAUCAUUUGCUUUCUUAUCUUUACAUUUAAUGGCUAGUUAAGUCCAAAAUUUCAUCUCUAAUUUGAGAAUGUUCUGGAAAGCAGUCUCUAAUGCUAGACAUUAUUCUGCUUUUUCAGCAUUUGUCGCUCCUUCUUGACCUUCUUCUGAGUUGUGCUUGCAUCUGCUAAUUGUUGGAGAAGCAUACACAGACAUGCUGUCUGCAUUUAAUUUGCAUUCCUAUUCCCUAAUUCAAGUGGGCCCUUAGUCUAGAAUUUUAAUUCUGCUCACUCCAAGGUGACUAUUUCAUACCUUGUCUAUUUUCAAAACUCUUAGCACUUGUCCCCCAUUGUCAUUCCCACCUUCAGCUUUAAUUUUUAUAGUAGGAGGAGUUCCCGUUGUGGCGCAGUGGUUAACGAAUCCGACUAGGAACCAUGAGGUUACAGGUUUGAUCCCUGGCCUUGCUCAGUGGGUUAAAGAUCCAAUGUUGCCGUGAACAAAAAAAAAUAAUAAUUUUUAUAAUAGGAAUGAACCUACAUAGAAUCUCCUGACCACAGGUGCUUCCCUUUUUAGAUUUACCCAUGUGGUUGCAUGUAUAACAAUGAAAAGUGAACUUACCCUCUGUCUUCUCUUCUGUGACUAUGAGUGCAUGGUCCAUGUUCCUUUCCACCCCUUGGCUUGUGAAGAUCCCAUCACCUCUACUUGCUUGAAGACCUUGACCUAGGCCUUUCCUCUCUUAUGUUUCAUCAGUCUUCCUGUCUACUUGGUAAUUCUUGCAAGUACAUAUGCCGACACACACACCUGUCUCACUUCACGCUUUAAAAACAAAAAGAAACGGAAUCCUUCCCAUCUCCAGUUGCAGCCCGGUGUGUAUCCUCUAUGACCAAAUUUAGCAGCAUUUCCAAACCAGCUGUCUUGUGCUUCUUCCCCAGUCUCUCUCUCAACUUCACUUCAUGUAAUCUGAGGUGACAACUGCCCUCCUGGGUGGCGUCAGAUCCAGUGGAUGUGAGAAGAGUCUACCUCACUUUAUCAGCAGCAUUUGAAACAGUGCCCCUUCCUCUGUUCUGCCUUGUUCUCUUUGGCUUUGGAGACCACAAGAAUGCCCUGGACCUUCUCCUGUCAGUUCAUUUCUCUCCUCCUCAAAUGAGCCACUAUCCACAUUUUUAUACUAAACCCUUCCUAGCUUUUCCGGCUCACCAUGGAGUCCUAAAAAUUAUCCUGAGGUGGUACCUGUUUUUUGAACUUUAUAAGUUGGGUUGUAUAGAAGGCAUUUUUAGUUGUCAGUUUCUUUUAUUCAACAUUGUAUUUGCUGCACCACAUUGUAAGUGGGUGUGAUGCUCAUUUUCAUUGCUUAAUUCUCGUCCACUGUGCAAAUACAUCCCGCAUGGGCUGGUACAGGACUCAGUUUCUGCACUGGUCCACAGCUGUGUCCUGCGUGGCUCUCAAGCUGGGUGGCCUGUGUGGGUGGGCAGCAUUCUUGAUGUUCUUAGGGCUACCCCAGGUGGUGAGAAGGAUGCUGUAGCCACACCCUGCCCUGACUGGUCCAGUCUGGCUUAAGCUUUCCUGGUUGCUGCUUAGAGAAACUGCUGACUUGGCUUGUAAGUGGGAGGAGUUUAUGGCUCAUCUUGAUAGAGUUUGGCUCAGUGGAAGAUAGAGAAGAGGAGAAGCAGAAGAGUUGUUUUUCCAACCACCAGUACACGUAUAGGUGAGGACAUGGUGGUUAGAUGGCAUAUCUGAGGCCAUCCUGGGAAACCGAGGCAUCAACUACUUUGCCGCCUGCUGGAGGCCAGCUCCAAAACACCCCCCAUGCAUCCUCCUCUUCCCUGUGUCAUCCCUUCUGCACAUGAUCCUGUUUCUCUGCAGUACACUCCUUACAUAUAUUUCUUUUUCAGAUUCUUUUCCCUUAUAGGUUAUUACAUAUAUCAUAUACUUCCAGUGCAAUAAGUAGGUCUUUGUGGUCUAUUUAUUUUAUAUAUAGUAGUUUGCAGCUGUUAAUUCCAAACUCCUAAUUGAUCCCUCAGCCCACUUCUCCCUUUGGUAACCAUAGGUUUGUUUUCUAUGUCUGUGAGUCUCUUUCUGCUUUGUAAAUAAGUUCGUUUAUAUCCUUUUUUAAGGUUCCACAUGUAAGUGAUAUCACAUAGUAUUUGUCUUUCUCUGUCUGACUUACUUCACUUAGUAUGAUGAUCUCUAGGCCCACCCAUGUUGCUUCUUAUCAUGUGACUCUCCGUACCUGCAGCUGCUGGGAGGCUUUGUGCCCCAGCUGUGUGGUUCUCCUUGCCAUGUGAAGGGAAGCUGUCUGACCUCAGUUCUAACGUUUCUGAUAGCAUGUCUGAUCUGAUCAUUACUGAGCACUCACUUUGUUGGGAGGAUUCAAUGCUUCGAUUAGGAUCUUAAAGAGUUCUUUUCCUGUGGCCAGAUUGGUUUCUCUCUGUGUCUUUGCCUGGUUUCUUCCUGUAGAGGAUUCUUGGAAGUCAGGGGAGGCUUGGCUAAAAGGAAGGUGCACUGCCCUGUGGGGUAGACAGUGGGGAAGGAAGAUUGCAGCCUCUGGUUUUCAACUUGCUUGUGAUGUAACUGGAACAAUAAUGUAAUUAGUAGAAAAGAUAAUGUUGGAUGUGUUUGAAAUAAAUUUUAAGCAAAACAUUAAAAGUGGUACAAAUUUCUCAUUUAGUAAAAUGAAUGACUAUUGAGUAUUGACAUCAAUAAAGCCACUCCUUGAACAUGAUAAAGCAUGGGCAUAGGUUUCUCACACUCUUUAUCUCUACAGCCUCUCUACAUCAGGUUAAAAUCUCUAAAUGAAUAAGUGUGGUUCUUCCAGGAAUAUCAUCUUCAGAAUAGGAAUAUAGUAUUUAAGAUUGUGUUCUUAAAAUCUCCACCCUUCAGAGAUCAAACACACUGGAAAGUGAUCCAGAAACACAUAACCUUCAGAGAUAAAAAUCAGAAUCAGUGUUUGAUAGAAGCACUGAUUGAACUUUGUGUACGUGGCUUCUAAAUAGUACAUUGAUUUAGAUACUCUUUUCUUACAGGGGAUGCUCUCUCAUCAAGUCUCAAUAAAUUAGUGUCUCCCUUUUUCUUUUAAAAUUUCGUUUUCAUUACAACUGAUUCUUGGCAUUUACAUACUCUCUUCAAGUGAAUACAAUUGAAAUGAGACUCACGAGUUUCUUUUCUAGACGAUACUAAAACUUCUCAGCAUUUAGAGGACCUGUAACCUUUCUUAAAUGGGCCCAUCUUCUGGCAUGAAAAAUAAUUCUUAGAUGUCACUUUAACUCCUAGUUUCAGUACAAAGACAGAUUGUCAGGGUAAUGAAUUAAAGGAACCUCACUGCAACUCUUCUGGUCAGUGCUGUAGCACAGCCCAUAUUAAUAUUUUAUUCCCUUUAAUAUUAGUACAUGAUGCAGGCUUUAUUUAAAUGGAUUUGACGGGUCUCUGGGUUGGCUUGACAACCAGAGGGAAAAAUUAAUGUUCUGCAUUUAAUCUCAGCUCAAGGCACUAAAUUAUUUUGGAGGUCAGAGCCAUCAUGCAUAUCAUGCUAAAUUAUUGUAUGUAAUAACUAUUAGCUAACUGUCUAUUUAUGGGCUUUUUAAAUUGUUUACUUCAUGCACCUUGAGCUAAUUUUUAAGAAACUAUCCCUUUUAAGUUCUUUCCCUUACAUGUGGACACUAUUAGCCCAGCCUUUGUGAUGGGACUAAUGGAAGAUGCUAGGUGGCCAACUCAAAAAUGAUGUCCCCCUUGUGAACUGUUAAUAAACUACAGAGAUCGCACCUCCUUUUGUUGGUUCCAUUUGCACAUGAAGUUCAAGUGUGUUGAGAGAAAUUGGGACUUUGUUGUAAGCUAAGAUAAAAAUCACAGAAUGCUCUCUAUGAAGAAAUUGAUGGUUAAAAGGAUAUAGUUGCUUAGGGAACUAGUGAACCUUAUUUUAAUCAUUAGAUGCUAACUAUUACAUUUCAUUUGGAUGGAUAUGUAGUGAGGUCCUGCUGUACCGAACAGGAAACUAUAUCCAAUUUCUUGGGAUAAACUAGGAUGGAAGAUAAUAUAAGAAAAAGAAUGUAUGUAUAUUAUGACUGGGUCACUUUGCAGAAAUUGGCACAACACUGUAAAUCAACUCUAUUUUAAUAAAAAAUAAAUUAAAAAAUAAUUGAAACAGGAUUGAAAAAGAAGUUGAAAAUAAUACUAUUAGAUUUUUAAAGAAAUAUUUUAAUGACAGAUCUGACAAGUGAAAUAUAAGAUAAUAUAUGUAUUAUUUAUGCUAUAAGUAAGUUCCAUAUACUUGUCCUUUGGUCUGACCUUAGUCUAAAGGUAGACAGGUAUCAAUGGUAUUUGUGGCCUAUGAGAGCCCUGUCUUUAUUUCCUGGGCAUUUCUGUAAUGAGAGCCUUAGAAGCCUGUACCUUCAGAGUUGGGUCUUGCACCUCUAGCUGCUAGGAGGGUGGUGGGGAGGUUGAAGAAGGCACGUACUCUCCUUGCACAGUUCUGCCUCCUCUGGAUUUGAUUUUAACCACAGCCAGCACUUUUGUAUGAGGCUGGCAGAGGUUAAGCACUUUUAACCACUUUACUUAAAGUAGCAUCAGUCAUGGCCAGUGGGCCAUGAGCACAGAAAGAGCUUCAGAAGAGAAGGUGAUUUUUCUUCCUGGUAAUGAAUGGUGAUAGGCCAGGAAACUUAUUGUACCUUCCAGACCUUAUCCAAGUCAGGGCAGUGAAUUUCCAUGAGGCUGACUGUUGAUAUAGCCUGGACCUCACUGAAGGGCUGAGACACCACGCCUCAGCCCAUCUUUCUUUCUGUCUUUCCCGUCUCACUUAUAAAUACUUCAUUCAUCUAAAUGAGAACUUUUUGGAAGACUGCUAGUCUGGAAAUAGCAGGUCUAUCUAGUGACUCUGGUAGCUCCUCGGUGACAUCUAGACCUACAAAUAGGCUACUGAGCAGGGAGGUUUGCUGCUUUGGGGAUGCCCGGCUUCCACCCUGCUCAGUAGCUUGAGGUCCACCAUGUGGCUGGAUGGGGAGCAGAGUAUGGUAACCGGACAGAGAGGGAUGGGAGGGAAGGAAAAAGCUUGAGGUUUCUUUCUGAUUGUUUUAUGGUCACACCCACAGCGUAUGGAAUUUCCCAGACCAAGGAUUGAAUUUGAGCUGUAGCUAUGCCCUGUGCUGCAGCUGCAGCAAUGCCAGACCCUUUAACCCACUGUGAUGGGCCCGAGAUUGAACCAGUGCCUCUACAGUGACCCUAGCUGCUGAAGUCAGAUUCUUAACUCACUGUGCCACAGUGGGAACUCUGAAAAGGCUUGAGUUUUAACCUCCCCUCCAGAAGUCUGGCUGGCUGGCAAUGAACAUCUAGGACCCAGGCUGGGCAUGGGUCUUUUGAUGGGACAAAAUUGGUAUUCUUUUCCUUAUCCUCAUCCAGUGACUCAACUAAUGCAAAAACAAAAUGAAACGAGACAAAAACCUCUU
Molecule: long non-coding RNA, 6049 nt
Filed under: Sus scrofa (pig)
Lineage: Eukaryota; Metazoa; Chordata; Mammalia; Artiodactyla; Suidae
Description: lncRNA (ENSSSCG00035070226.1)
Source: RNAcentral